GAUGAACGCUGGUGGCGUGCCUAAUACAUGCAAGUCGAGCGAACAGAUAAGGAGCUUGCUCCUUUGACGUUAGCGGCGGACGGGUGAGUAACACGUGGGUAACCUACCUAUAAGACUGGGAUAACUUCGGGAAACCGGAGCUAAUACCGGAUAAUAUUUCGAACCGCAUGGUUCGAUAGUGAAAGAUGGUUUUGCUAUCACUUAUAGAUGGACCCGCGCCGUAUUAGCUAGUUGGUAAGGUAACGGCUUACCAAGGCGACGAUACGUAGCCGACCUGAGAGGGUGAUCGGCCACACUGGAACUGAGACACGGUCCAGACUCCUACGGGAGGCAGCAGUAGGGAAUCUUCCGCAAUGGGCGAAAGCCUGACGGAGCAACGCCGCGUGAGUGAUGAAGGUCUUCGGAUCGUAAAACUCUGUUACUAGGGAAGAACAUACGUGUAAGUAACUGUGCACGUCUUGACGGUACCUAAUCAGAAAGCCACGGCUAACUACGUG
RNAcentral lists this ribosomal RNA (497 nucleotides) under uncultured bacterium. RNAcentral's name for it is "partial 16S ribosomal RNA". It matches the Rfam family "Bacterial small subunit ribosomal RNA", at positions 28 to 507 of the family's 1533-position model. The record is from RNAcentral.